ACAACUCCCAUUCCCCUCUUAAAGGGUCUUACCGAUGAAUCCGGCGCCUCCGACAAUCUCCCCGACUCACUUCUCCAGCUGAAACUCACCGAAAUUCUCCGCGACGCCCGUCUCUAUGCGAUCUUUCGAAUGUACCUCCAGGACAUUCGCGGACCGGUUCAUGAACUGCAAUUCCUUGUGGAAGCCACACGGAUCUUGGAUAGUAUUCAGAGAAAAGUAGGAUUUGGGGGAAGCGGAUCUGUCAAAAAUUCAAAAAAUUAUUUAAAAUUUGCAGCUAGAAUCCGAUAGUCAAAUCGCGUACGACAUCUGGCAGCUUUACGGGCAAUUUGUGCAUGAAAGUGCUCAGGAGCGAGUCCGAAUUGCGGAGAGCCUCGUUGAACAGUACAAGUCGGCGGUGGAGGUUAACGAUAUUAGGGUUCUAGAGGGAAUUAUUGAGAUGG
Molecule: small RNA, 440 nt
Filed under: Caenorhabditis elegans
Lineage: Eukaryota; Metazoa; Nematoda; Chromadorea; Rhabditida; Rhabditidae
Description: Unclassified non-coding RNA Y48E1B.18
Source: RNAcentral